UGAGGAAUAUUGGUCAAUGGUCGAGAGACUGAACCAGCCAAGUCGCGUGAAGGAUGACUGCCCUAUGGGUUGUAAACUUCUUUUACAAGGGAAUAAAAUGAGAUACGUGUAUUUUAUUGCAUGUACCUUGGGAAUAAGCAUCGGCUAACUCCGUGCCAGCAGCCGCGGUAAUACGGAGGAUGCGAGCGUUAUCCGGAUUUAUUGGGUUUAAAGGGUGCGUAGGUGGGCUGUUAAGUCAGCGGUGAAAGUUUGUCGCUUAACGAUAAAAUUGCCGUUGAAACUGGUAGUCGUGAGUAUAGAUGAAGUAGGCGGAAUGCGUGGUGUAGCGGUGAAAUGCAUAGAGAUCACGCAGAACUCCGAUUGCGAAGGCAGCUUACUAAGGUAUAACUGACACUGAAGCACGAAAGCGUGGGUAUCAAACAGG
RNAcentral lists this ribosomal RNA (424 nucleotides) under Fusobacteriota bacterium. RNAcentral describes it as "Fusobacteria bacterium partial 16S ribosomal RNA". It matches the Rfam family "Bacterial small subunit ribosomal RNA", at positions 355 to 776 of the family's 1533-position model. Lineage: Bacteria; Fusobacteriati; Fusobacteriota. The record is from RNAcentral.